AUGCAAAGAGAUUGCCAUGUUUUCUUUUAUUUCGGUUUAGUUCAUUCCCUUAUAUAUCCAGCUGUUUUCCGUAGAACAAAUAUAAAUGUUCAUGUUGUAAUGGAUGGAUAUGUUGAUGGCAUCGUCAUGUCAUGUAAAUUACAUGCAGAACAAAUCUAUAUUUUUGUUGGGACUAAAAGUGAAAACGAUAUUUGGGACCAAAACUUUUCAAAUAGCUCUGAAUAUGAAUUGGGACCUUGUGCUGUUUGGGGUGGAGCUACAGGGAGUGAGAGGCGGACAACAAUAGGGCGAAGAAGCAUGCCAUUGAGGAGUGCAAGCAGCGGCGCUCCUUCGCAAUGGGGCGUGGCUGCAGGGGAGGGGAGGUGGCCAACGACGGGGAGAAUGAGCAGGUCGUCAAGGAGUGCAAGCAGCAGGUUUCUGUUGACUGGAAGUCUGAAACUGAAGAUAGGGCAUAUUGUUUUGGUUCUGAGUGGUUGGGGAUAUUGUGGAUUGAUGUCCCUAGAGCAGUCAGACCCUUCCAAGAUAGGUGCUAAAAUCCUAGGUGUCAAGGGCAUUGUGGUGGCGCGAUCCAUGUCUACUGCGAUCGCUCGGCAUGGCGUCCAUAGCCCCUUUUGCUGCAUUCUUUGUUUUUCGGAAAAUAUGUUCUUGCUUGAGGGUGAAUAUGUUCAUGAUUCAUAA
RNAcentral lists this ribosomal RNA (678 nucleotides) under Triticum aestivum (bread wheat). Its description in RNAcentral is "partial small subunit ribosomal RNA". The record is from RNAcentral. Lineage: Eukaryota; Viridiplantae; Streptophyta; Magnoliopsida; Poales; Poaceae.